UGCACACUGAGAAUGUAACUGGCUCGCUCA
This 30-nucleotide non-coding RNA is filed under the name Mus musculus (house mouse). Lineage: Eukaryota; Metazoa; Chordata; Mammalia; Rodentia; Muridae. The record is from RNAcentral.